Olea europaea var. sylvestris is the source of this 1016-nucleotide long non-coding RNA. RefSeq lists it as uncharacterized. NCBI's taxonomy places the organism in Eukaryota, Viridiplantae, Streptophyta, Magnoliopsida, Lamiales, Oleaceae. The transcript has 2 exons. The record is from RefSeq and is a predicted model, not a curated record.
GCAGGCUCAAAUUAUGACAUUUUAGCAUGACAAAUUCAACUGGAAUCACUCAAGUUGUGAAAGGCAAAGAACUUUCAAGAUUAUUGAGUAAAUCCAAAAUGACUCUAGAUCAGUCCAACCAUCAAAGUCCCACAAUCGUAAAAGUAACUUGCCUAGAAGGAUAAUGAAUGUUGUCAACAUAACCCUUAGGAUAGUUGUCUUGGUAAAGGGGUGUAGAAGGCCCACCGUUGUGAUAAUAGUUUAUGGGGUGGGUGUAGGCAUAGAAGAUUUUACAAGGUUCAUACAUGAUGUUAAGGGAAGUGCCAUGACAAAUAGUGACGGAGUCAGCACCUGUUGAGGGGGUGUGGCCGUGCGGCCUGACUCUAACGAAGUCGACGUCGCCAGUUGGGAGAGGAGCCACAACCAUGGCGGAAAUGAAUCAGAAAUCACAAGCUGGGGGUUGCAAAUGAUAGACUCAAGAUUGGACCCUUUUUUUUUUUUUUUUUAAUACAAGAGGCCUAAUAACAGAAAAGAGAGAGACCCAAGUCCAACCAAAUGCCCAAUCUUAUAAGUUAUAUGGGAUCAAAUGCAAUCGGCUUCCAUUUUGCAAAAUGCAAACCCUAUCCCUUUGAAGUCUCAAAAGUCACACCUACUACCCAGCGUCCCACUUCCCAAUCACCCAGCCUUACCCUACUGUCGGCCGUCAACUGUCGAUGAAGCUAGCCUCUCCGCCUCCAGUCUUUCGCUAUUGGUCUUCAGUUAUUGAGUGAUGGUAUAGUAUCAUCUGUUGCAAACUGAAGCUAAUCCUUUGCGCCUUCUCUGUCUCAAGCCAUCUGAUUUCAAAUACAGAAGAUCUAUGCGGCAGUGCGAUGAUAGAUAGUAGAUAUAAAAAUAAUUUUUUUAUUAUAUCUGUAAUAACAGAACUAACAUACAUUUCUAUAAGCAGUAUUAUUACAUUCAACUCAAUCCUAAAUAUAUCUGUAUCAUUUCCUAUAAUGGAGAAUGUAAUAAAUGUACAACUUUUCAUUCCCCUCAAA